Molecule: long non-coding RNA, 1005 nt
Filed under: Callithrix jacchus (white-tufted-ear marmoset)
Lineage: Eukaryota; Metazoa; Chordata; Mammalia; Primates; Cebidae
Description: lncRNA (ENSCJAG00000082360.1)
Source: RNAcentral
AUGUUUAUUUUAAGGGGCAGUUUUCCUGCACAAUCCCUCUUCUUCUCUCAUCUGCUAAGAUGUGGGACAUCCCUUUCACCUUCUGCCAUGAUUGUGAGGUCUCCCCAACUACGUGGAACAGUUAUACAAGCUUGGCACAAACAUCUAUUUGGUUUCUGGAGAGACCUCAAGAAGCUGACAAUCAAGGCAGAAGGCAAAGAGGAGCCAGUGCAUCACAUGACAGAGUUCCACUCCUGUUGCCCAGGCUGGAGUGCAAUGAAUGGCACGAUCUCGGCUCACUGCAACCACCACCUCCCGGAUUCAAGCGAUUUUCCUGCCUCAGAAUCUAGAGCUGGGAUUACAGGCACCCACCACCACACCCAGCUAAUUUUUUGUAUUUUUAAUACAGACACAGUUUCACCAUGUUGGCCAGGCUGGUCUUGAACUCCUGACAGCAGGUAAUCUGCGGGGGACAUCCCAAAGUGCUAGGAUUACAGAUGUUAGCUACCGUGCCCAGGUCAAUAUCAUUUAUUAAAAAGACCAUCCUUUCCUCGAUUUAUUGCAAUGUCACUGUAAUUAACCAGGACAUCAUAUAUGUGUAAGUCUGUUUAUGGAUUUUCUCUUCCAUUACACUGGCCAGUAUGUCUAUCAUUGUGUCAGUAUCACACUAUAUUAAUCACCAUAAAUUGAUAAUGAUUGUUGGUAUCUGUUAGUAUGCGUCCUCUAGCUUUUUCACUCUUCAGGAAUGCCUUAAUAAUUCUUGCCCAUUUACAUUUCCAUAUCCAUUUUAGAGUCAGCUUUUCAAUACACACACCCCUGCUGGGAUUUUGAUUAAGAUUGAUUGAAUCUGUUGAUUAGAUUUAGAGAAAUUGGCAUGUUUAUAGUAUUGAGUCUUCCAGUCCACAAAUACGGCAUAUUGUUCACUUUAUUUAGAUCUUUAAUUUCCUUCAAUAAUGUUUGUAGAUUAUAAUGUAGACAUUUUCACAAAUGUUGUUACAUUUAACUUCUAAGCACUUUGAUUCUUCC